GACGAACGCUGGCGGCGUGCUUAACACAUGCAAGUCGAACGGAAAGGCCCUGCUUUUGUGGGGUGCUCGAGUGGCGAACGGGUGAGUAACACGUGAGUAACCUGCCCUUGACUUUGGGAUAACUUCAGGAAACUGGGGCUAAUACCGGAUAGGAGCUCCUGCUGCAUGGUGGGGGUUGGAAAGUUUCUGCGGUUGGGGAUGGACUCGCGGGUUAUCAGCUUGUUGGUGGGGUAGUGGCUUACCAAGGCUUUGACGGGUAGCCGGCCUGAGAGGGUGAACGGCGACAUUGGGACUGAGAUACGGACCAGUCUCCUACGGGAGGCAGCAGUGGGGAAUAUUGCACAGUGGGCGGAAGCCUGAUGCAGCAACGCCGCGUGCGGGAUGACGGCCUUCGGGUUGUAAACCGCUUUCGCCUGUGACGAAGCGUGAGUGACGGUAAUGGGUAAAGAAGCACCGGCUAACUACGUG
This 468-nucleotide ribosomal RNA is filed under the name uncultured bacterium. RNAcentral describes it as "partial 16S ribosomal RNA". It matches the Rfam family "Bacterial small subunit ribosomal RNA", at positions 28 to 507 of the family's 1533-position model. The record is from RNAcentral.